RNAcentral lists this ribosomal RNA (497 nucleotides) under uncultured bacterium. RNAcentral describes it as "partial 16S ribosomal RNA". It matches the Rfam family "Bacterial small subunit ribosomal RNA", at positions 28 to 507 of the family's 1533-position model. The record is from RNAcentral.
GACGAACGCUGGCGGCGUGCCUAAUACAUGCAAGUAGAACGCUGAAGGAAGGAGCUUGCUCUUUCUGGAUGAGUUGCGAACGGGUGAGUAACGCGUAGGUAACCUGCCUGGUAGCGGGGGAUAACUAUUGGAAACGAUAGCUAGUACCGCAUAAAAUUGAUUAUUGCAUGAUAGUCAAUUAAAAGGUGCAACUGCACCACUACCAGAUGGACCUGCGUUGUAUUAGCUAGUUGGUGGGGUAACGGCUCACCAAGGCGACGAUACAUAGCCGACCUGAGAGGGUGAUCGGCCACACUGGGACUGAGACACGGCCCAGACGCCUACGGGAGGCAGCAGUAGGGAAGCUUCGGCAAUGGACGGAAGUCUGACCGAGCAACGCCGCGUGAGUGAAGAAGGGUUUCGGAUCGUAAAGCUCGGUUGUAAGAGAAGAACGAGUGUGAGAGUGGAAAGUUCACACUGUGACGGUAUCUUACCAGAAAGGGACGGCUAACUACGUG